CCCCUCUUAGGGUCACAUCUGGAGAGUUCCCGGUACUCUACCAGUAUCGACUACGGAAGAAAGAGUCAAGCAGAGGCAUACCCAUUCCAUUCCUAGCUUGGCUAGUGGCUAGCAAGUAGAAGGCAAUCUGCUACAAGU
Molecule: small nucleolar RNA, 138 nt
Organism: Tachyglossus aculeatus (Australian echidna)
Lineage: Eukaryota; Metazoa; Chordata; Mammalia; Monotremata; Tachyglossidae
Source: RefSeq, a predicted model, not a curated record